Phodopus roborovskii (desert hamster) is the source of this 4625-nucleotide RNA transcript. It is a transcript of the gene named phosphatidylinositol-4-phosphate 5-kinase type 1 gamma, with no coding region annotated. NCBI's taxonomy places the organism in Eukaryota, Metazoa, Chordata, Mammalia, Rodentia, Cricetidae. The record is from RefSeq and is a predicted model, not a curated record. The transcript has 19 exons.
CCGGCGCCCCUCCCUCCGCCCUGUGGUGCCGGCGGCGCUUGUUGUUCAGCGGCGGCGGCCGAGCUCGGGUGCAUCCUCGGGCCCGCCGCCGCCGCCGGAGCGCUUGGCCAUGGAGCUGGAGGUGCCGGACGAGGCGGAGAGCGCCGAGGCGGGGGCCGUGACGGCGGAGGCGGCCUGGUCUUCCGAGAGCGGGGCGGAAGCAGGUAUGACCCAGAAGAAAGCUGUCCUUGCAGAGACUCCCUUGGUGACAGGGCAGCCUGGCCCUGGCCAUGGGAAGAAGCUGGGCCAUCGAGGCGUGGACGCAUCUGGAGAGACCACAUAUAAGAAGACCACCUCGUCCACCCUGAAGGGUGCCAUCCAGCUGGGGAUCGGGUACACAGUGGGCAACCUCAGCUCUAAGCCAGAGCGUGACGUGCUCAUGCAGGACUUCUAUGUGGUAGAGAGCAUCUUCUUCCCCAGCGAAGGGAGCAACCUCACCCCUGCCCACCACUUCCAGGAUUUCCGAUUCAAGACCUAUGCACCUGUUGCCUUUCGUUACUUCCGGGAGCUCUUCGGCAUCCGGCCAGAUGAUUACUUGUACUCGCUGUGCAAUGAGCCACUCAUCGAGCUGUCCAACCCUGGUGCCAGCGGCUCCGUCUUCUACGUCACCAGCGAUGAUGAGUUUAUCAUCAAGACCGUCAUGCACAAGGAAGCUGAGUUCCUGCAGAAGCUGCUGCCUGGUUACUACAUGAACCUCAACCAGAACCCACGAACACUGCUGCCCAAGUUCUAUGGGCUGUACUGCGUGCAGUCAGGUGGCAAGAACAUCCGCGUGGUGGUCAUGAACAACGUGCUGCCCCGAGUUGUCAAGAUGCAUCUCAAGUUCGACCUCAAGGGCUCCACGUACAAGCGCAGGGCAAGUAAGAAGGAAAAGGAGAAGAGCCUGCCCACCUACAAGGACCUAGAUUUCAUGCAGGACAUGCCCGAGGGGCUGCUGCUGGAUGCUGACACCUUUGGCGCCCUGGUCAAGACACUUCAGCGUGACUGCCUGGUGCUAGAGAGCUUCAAGAUCAUGGACUACAGCCUCCUGCUGGGCGUGCACAACAUAGAUCAACAGGAGCGAGAGCGCCAGGCUGAAGGCGCCCGGAGCACAGCAGACGAGAAGCGACCAGUAGCGCAGAAGGCCCUAUACUCCACAGCCAUGGAGUCCAUUCAGGGUGGUGCUGCCCGUGGGGAAGCCAUUGAGACAGAUGACACAAUGGGUGGAAUCCCGGCUGUGAAUGGGCGAGGGGAGCGGCUGCUGCUUCAUAUCGGAAUCAUUGACAUUCUGCAGUCCUACAGGUUCAUCAAAAAGUUAGAACAUACCUGGAAGGCCCUAGUCCACGAUGGGGACACUGUCUCAGUCCACCGGCCUAGCUUCUAUGCGGAGCGCUUCUUCAAGUUCAUGAGUAGCACAGUCUUCCGGAAGAGUUCCUCCCUGAAGUCCUCUCCAUCCAAGAAAGGGCGUGGUACCCUGUUAGCCGUCAAACCCCUGGGGCCCACAGCCGCUUUCUCAGCUAGCCAGAUCCCCAGUGAGAGAGAAGAUGCACAGUAUGACCUUCGAGGGGCCCGCAGCUACCCCACGCUGGAAGAUGAAGGCCGGCCUGACCUCCUGCCCUGCACCCCUCCAUCCUUUGAAGAAGCCACCACGGCCUCCAUUGCCACCACCCUAUCUUCCACCUCCCUCUCCAUCCCAGAGCGCUCCCCUUCGGAGACAUCAGAGCAGCCCCGGUACAGGCGGCGCACGCAGUCUUCAGGCCAGGAUGGCCGGUCCCAGGAGGAGCCCCACGUGGAGGAUUUGCAGAAGAUAACAGUGCAGGUGGAACCAGUGUGUGAUGUGGGGAUUGUGGUCCCCAAGGAGCAGGGUGCAGGAGUGGAGGUUCCCCUAUCUGGGGCGUCGGCUGCAGCCACUGUGGAAGUGGACACUGCCAGCCAGGCCUCAGAGCCUGCCAGCCAGGCCUCGGAUGAGGAGGAUGCACCCUCCACAGACAUCUACUUUUUCGCCCACGGGAGAUACUGGCUUUUCUCUCCCCGUCGUCACCAACUGCGGGCCGUGACACCGAGCCGCACAGGCGCUGUAAGUGACCACAGACCGUCACACGAGGAGAUGAGCUCCCGGAACACAGCACCCCACACCCCUUCUCUCCUCAAAUGACUGUGGAAAAUCACAGCCAUAGUGGAGCCCACCGACGAGAGGAGCUGGGUGUACUCCCCGCUUCACUAUAGCACGCGGCCCGCCUCCGACGGCGAGAGCGACACAUAACUUCUAUGCAGUCUGCAGUCUGGAGCCCAGUGUCCUUCUGCCAUCCCAGUCACUUCCUGGAGGCGAUGCCCCUCACUGGGGCCCAGAGCUCAGCAACAUCACCCCAAGGGCCCAGGCCUGACCUCAUCCUCUCCCUCCUCACCGACGGAUGCCACCGGCCAGGCCUGUCCCCAGGAUAGCUUGGGCAACCAUCUGCCCCUGCCUAUACCUGUUGGGGCAUCAACAUUCCGAGUGCCCGAUCCUGUAUUUAUUUUGGGUCCUUUUUUGCACGGAGAAGGAGCACAGGAGUGAUUUUUCUAGGACAAAGACAAAAGACACAAAACCCAGGAAGAAGCUGCAGCCACUGGCCUUGGCGGAUUAGGCUCUACAUGUCCUUCUACUUUUGGGGACCUGCCCCAGCAACUAGGUGACUCCAGAAAAGCCCACUCUCCAGAGCUCUCAUGGUGGCCUGCAGAGGGAACAGGCCCUGGAGCCUUCACUUGUCAUCCGGAUCUGUGCUCCUGAGUUGGAUGAGGUCACCAUUGCUGCCUCAGCAGAACCCCUCCGUCACCUCAGGUUUGGGACCCAAGCAGACCAGGACUAGCCAUGUGUGCUUUCUACAUCUUCUUACCGCCACUGGGAGUAUGUCCCCAAGCACAUAUGUCCUGCUGUUACAAUCACGUGGCACUGACUGGGAGUAGCAGCCACACUGUCUGCAGCCUGUCCGGGGAAUCCCUGGGCUGAGGGCAUGCUUCCUCGCCACUCCCGGGGAACUCCUUUUCAGAGCAGAUGCUGCCCUGAGAAGAGCAAGGUCAGACUCCAGGCUGCAGAGUGACAGCUGGGUCCUCAAACACCCUGGCUGAAGAUGAACCACCAGAGCCGACUGUGUGCACUGGGACACCAGGGAGAGGGACUUGUCCCUUCCCUUGGGCAGGCUUCCCCCUCCCCAUGUGGGACUUCUGGGUACACAGUCCCAUCAUGUCCCUGUGUCAUGGAUACUCUACCCACCGUGUUCUCAUAGGAAUCAAGCUGGACAAUUCUGAAAGCCAGGCUGAAUUCCUGGUACACAGCCUUUGGGCCAGCCCCAUGGGCCACUGGGUUGCACCUUCAGGGACAUAGACGUCAAAACCUGGCUGGCUUACAGGGACCACGGCAGGCUGCAGAGGCAGUGAGGAACAUGAUACAGCCCUUUCUGCAGGUACCCAUUUCCAUCAUGGGAAGAAAGGGCAUAAACUGGGAGCAAACCCUAGCUGAUGUGUUGAUGGGGGCUGAAAUAGGAGGGAUGGACAGAUGCCUGCCCUAGACCUCACCACAGUACCAUGUUUGUGUAAGUCUCAGGGCCCCCUCCAAAGGUCUGCAUUGUUUGCUGAUGGGAGUCCUGUUUUGGGACUGGCAAAUGACACCCGUGUGGUGAGCUGCUGAGCAAGUUGAUUCAGGGGCUACAAAGGCAGGGUCCAGUCUUGCAUAGACUCCUCCAGGAAGGCAUUGUGUCGUCUGUCAUCCCAGCCCUUGGAAGGCUAAAGCAGGAGGAUUGUGGCAAGUUCCAGGCUAGGCUGGGCUACAGAGUGAAACCCUGUCUCAAAAGAGAAAGGAAAACAAAACAAAAACCCACAGGGCUGGCGUUACUGCUCAGUGGGCAACGGCCACCCAGCAGCCUAAGCCCUGGGUUCCAUCCUGGCACUCACAAACCACAUGGGGUGGAAUAUCUGUCAUCCCAGCACUUGGGAGGUGGAGACAGGAGCAGCUCAAGGUCAUACUUGUCUACGUCGGAAGCCAGCCUGGGCUACAAGAAACCCUCUCAAAAAAGAAUCUGUAAAUAUUGGUGAUUCCCCAUCCUGUUCUCUCCAACAGCCGCUAUUACCCCACCAUGGACGGCGUGUGAAUUGUACUGUAAGGACCAGAGGUACCUCCAAAUCUGAGGUGUCCCCGGUCUGCCUCUACUACUUACCCUAGCCAUUCCAGCAAGUCCCCUGUUAAGCCCCACAGCAACCUCAGUGCAAUAUGCCCUCCCCGUGGGGUCCCUUGGCACGGUACUGUCUCCACAGUCAUUCCGUCCCUCACCUCCCUCUCCGGUGGUUAAAAAUCGCAUUGCACACCCUCACCCCAGUUCUGUUUUUAUUGCUGAAUUCAUUCUGGAAACUUCAAAACAUCGUAUGUCUUACUCAUCAGGGCGAGGGAGUCUCUGGUCCUCAGCCCCUGCGGUCUGGUGACAAUCCAAGUACGGUGUCCCCCUGCAACAACCAGGGGUCCCUGUCCCUCCAAUGCAGCUGCUGCUGACAGCAGCCGGCAUCUGUAUGCAACCCAGGUUCCCACCACAACCCCUAUUUUUAAGUUAAAAUCUCUAAUAAAUCGGGUAUUAAACAGC